UACGUAGGGGGCAAGCGUUAUCCGGAAUUACUGGGUGUAAAGGGAGCGUAGACGAUAAUGUAAGUCUGGAGUGAAAGGCGGGGGCCCAACCCCCGGACUGCUCUGGAAACUAUGUUACUAGAGUGCAGGAGAGGUAAGCGGAAUUCCUAGUGUAGCGGUGAAAUGCGUAGAUAUUAGGAGGAACACCAGUGGCGAAGGCGGCUUACUGGACUGUAACUGACGUUGAGGCUCGAAAGCGUGGGGAGCAAACAGG
RNAcentral lists this ribosomal RNA (253 nucleotides) under uncultured bacterium. RNAcentral describes it as "partial 16S ribosomal RNA". It matches the Rfam family "Bacterial small subunit ribosomal RNA", at positions 524 to 776 of the family's 1533-position model. The record is from RNAcentral.